GACGAACGCUGGCGGCGUGCUUAACACAUGCAAGUCGAGCGGUAAGGCCCUUUCGGGGGUACACGAGCGGCGAACGGGUGAGUAACACGUGGGUGACCUGCCCUCAGCUCUGGGAUAAGCCUGGGAAACCGGGUCUAAUACCGGAUAUGACUCCAUGACGCAUGUUGUGGGGUGAAAGCCUUGUGCGGCUGAGGAUGGGCCCGCGGCCUAUCAGCUUGUUGGUGGGGUGAUGGCCUACCAAGGCGACGACGGGUAGCCGGCCUGAGAGGGCGACCGGCCACACUGGGACUGAGACACGG
This 299-nucleotide ribosomal RNA is filed under the name uncultured bacterium. Its description in RNAcentral is "partial 16S ribosomal RNA". It matches the Rfam family "Bacterial small subunit ribosomal RNA", at positions 28 to 329 of the family's 1533-position model. The record is from RNAcentral.